AAAAUAAAGUAGAAACUAUCCGUUUCUCACCUUACAUGACGACAAGUUACUAAGGUUUAUGAUGAAGGCAAUGAACGGAUAGUGAAUACUAUUCGUUCUUUUUUUUGGAG
Non-coding RNA from Megasphaera sp., 110 nucleotides. The record is from Rfam. NCBI's taxonomy places the organism in Bacteria, Bacillati, Bacillota, Negativicutes, Veillonellales, Veillonellaceae.